UUAAUGAAGCAUCAUUUCGGAAG
RNAcentral lists this transfer RNA (23 nucleotides) under Pristimantis vanadise (La Marca's robber frog). Its description in RNAcentral is "partial tRNA-Leu". Lineage: Eukaryota; Metazoa; Chordata; Amphibia; Anura; Strabomantidae. The record is from RNAcentral.